This 301-nucleotide ribosomal RNA is filed under the name uncultured bacterium. RNAcentral describes it as "partial 16S ribosomal RNA". It matches the Rfam family "Bacterial small subunit ribosomal RNA", at positions 509 to 809 of the family's 1533-position model. The record is from RNAcentral.
CAGCAGCCACGGUAAUACGGAGGGUGCGAGCGUUGUCCGGAUUUAUUGGGUUUAAAGGGUGCGUAGGUGGCUUUAUAAGUCAGUGGUGAAAUACGGUUGCUCAACAAUCGAGGUGCCAUUGAUACUGUAGAGCUUGAAAUAAUUGGAGGCUGCCGGAAUGGAUGAUGUAGCGGUGAAAUGCAUAGAUAUCAUCCAGAACACCGAUUGCGAAGGCAGGUGGCUACGAUUUGUUUGACACUGAGGCACGAAAGCAUGGGGAGCAAACAGGAUUAGAUACCCCUGUAGUCCCUGUCUCUUAUAU